RNAcentral lists this long non-coding RNA (10274 nucleotides) under Triticum aestivum (bread wheat). RNAcentral's name for it is "long non-coding RNA (TAES_LNC004417)". The record is from RNAcentral. Lineage: Eukaryota; Viridiplantae; Streptophyta; Magnoliopsida; Poales; Poaceae.
GAUUUCUAAGCCUUCUCACAACUUUGUCUCCAGCUCCCCUGUAAUUUUAUUUGUCCAGCUAUUAACUUUGAUUUAAAAAAUGGUGUGGACUAAAAACCCGGAUGGACGUAGUAGCCCUCCAUUUUUAUUUACUCCGCAUAUUAGAUUUGAAUGAAGUCAAACUUUGUAAUACUCUCAAACCUUUCCGAUAAUUGAAAUUAAAAUUCUUUAUUUGUACACACUCUCACACGUUUCCGAUAAUUUGGCGCAUGUGUGGUUGUUCACUUAAGGGAGGGUAGUGUACCACACGUGAAGGACAGGAAGUGCGACCAGGACGCGUGGGCGUGGAUCGUUAGUUCAUCGGAAGUAGUACUAGUUUUCUUCACUAUACAUUAAAUAAAGAGUUUCAUUUCGUACUUACACAAUUUAAAACGAUUGUUAUGGAGAGAAUAAGAAAACACUCCACUAUAUAUUAGUCGUAUACACGAGAGUACUAUAUGGACGCAGCUUCAUUGACUUAGUGCACCUGCCUUUGGAUUUAUGACAGGUGGGCCCAAAAUGUGGCUGGCUCACCUGUCAUACAGCCAAAAGCAGGUGAAGUGAAGGCACCGGAGCUCAGUCCGUACUACAGUAGUAUAUAUAUAAGCGGGAGCCUCAGCGCUUGUUCGCUAGGGUUUGCACUCUCCACACGCUCGCCGCACUACAUAUAUGUUACACGCUGGAGGCUCAGCGUUCAUUUGCUAGGGUUUGCUAUAUUCACAGUCUCUCACCCUCUCUUCACCAGAUCUAAACAAGACUGUGUUGGCCUCUUGUCUCUCUCUCCCCCCUCACAGCUGGUGAAGGAGGCGUCUGUAUCCCGUCGCACCGGGAAGGGGAGGAGGUGCAGCGAUCACUCUAUCGCCUUCAGCGAGGGAGGCAAACCACUACCGGCUGCGCUGUUCUCUUUCACCCAGCACCUAUGCGGGACGGCCACCGACCCCUUCUUCCUCGCUGCCGUACGUAGUGUGGGCAGAUCCGGCCUCCCGCCGCAUGCCUUGCCACAUCCCGACGACCCUAAGGUAUAAGUUUCUUUGAAACCGUCGUUGCUCUAGCUGCAUGUGGAUCUUUUUCGAUCUGUAGUCGAAUCUAGGUCUUGGUUCCAAGAGGAAUAAAGGGUGCAGUGGGCUGGAGCAAGAAUCUAGGACGUGGUUCAAUGAGGAAAGGAGGGGCGGAAAGUAGUAUAGACUGGCUAUCCAGCCGCUUUGUAGGUCGAAAAGGGAAAAAGGGGGUAACCCAGUACACACAUCUGUAAGGAACCGAUCUCUUUAUUGAAAAGGGAAAGAAACUGGGGGGUCGGGUAGUUUGUGCGGGACUAGAUUUGCUGCCCUCACAUAGGAAGAAGGUUCAAAGAGAACAAAUAUGGGACCAGCGCAUAUAUGCUGCUUGGCUACAUACUCUGCAUCACCCAUUUAUACGUGUGGAUGCACAUGGUGCUGGCAUGUCCCAUACAGCUAUUUUGCUGUUGUUAAUCUAAGAAUUGCGCCGGAAAAUUGAAGCAAUGCCACUGUUAAAAGUAAAUUACAUUUUUUAACGAAUGUUGUUUCAAGAGAAUGUCUCUGUUAAUAUGAAUCAAUGCAACCGUUUUAGAAAUGCUACUGUCCUACUUUGUUUUCCAUCCACGAUAAGUUAGAUGCUUCUUUCUGUCACCGUUUGUUUCAUCCUCCUUUAUCGGCAAGUAAUUGUUUCCUUUUUUGCCUCUGUUAAAACAGGGCUAUCAAUUCAACUUGUUUCUAUUGCGACAUUUUGCUUCGCUACUCGAAACACUUAUGUUUUAAGAGUGUUUUGUGCAGUUCAACUUGAAUGUCACACCGGUGACUUUGCUUAAUUUUGGUGGACCUGAACAAACGGAGAUUGAGAUUCGUAUUUUACCUUUGUCGGUCUCAUGAAAGGUCAGUACAGGCCUUCAUCCACAUGAUUGUGCAGUGUGAUUUGAGAUGUUAUGCUACUUGUAUUGGUACUAUUUUAAAUAAAUGUUGAAUUGAAGCUAUUGUGUUGCUGUCUUUUCCCAUUAAGUAGUGAACAAAAAUGGGACCAACCCAGACAUGAUGCUUGUUGCUUUGUUACAACAAACUCUGCAUCACCCCCUUUAUAAGUAGAUGGAAGCACAUACUGUUGUUGCGCCCACUCUCCCCUGGAACUGUUUAUGCUUUUCGUUAAUCUAAUGCCGCUGGUAAAAUUAAGCAAUGCCACUCUCAGAAUUAAUUAACUAUUGAAUCUUAGUUCAAAACUGCAACACUUGUUAGGAAUGGUACUAUCCUGCUUUGUAGUUCUUUCUACAUGUUUAACCAAGGUAUUGUUAAGAUAAUGUCUCUGUUAAAAUGAAUCAGUUGCAUUGUUUUAGGAAUGGUACUUUUCUGCUUUGUCGUUCUUUAUACAUGUUGAAACAAGGCAUUGUUAAGAUAAUGUCUCAGUCAAUAUGAAUGAAUCACACUGAUGGAGAAUUGCUACUCUCCUGCUUUGUUUCCCAUUAAGAUAAAGUAGAUCAGUAGAUGCUUUUCUUCUGGGAGUACAAGUCAUCAACCGUUAUUUCUCAGUAAUUGUUUCCCUUAUACCUAUUGUUGCUUACAGUGAUAUCAAAAUUAAAGCUCGGUUUUAUUCCGACUUCGAUUUUAGUUGAACUGCACAAAAGGAGCCAAUGUGUCCAAGGCAAACUACUGCAUUACUGGGUCCAGUUGGUCGUUCCACUUUGCAUAAAGAAGCAGUCACUGUUUGCGCUACAUUACAGAAGGAAUGACCGAGAAGCUUUACAGAGUACUAUUAGACACCGGUGACAUGACUAGUCUGUAGAGACCAUUGGCAAUUUAACAACACGUGGAGUGCCCUGGGCAAAAAGUGCCCAAACAAGUACAAGAAGCUACGACAGGACUCCACGAUCAUAGGCAUUACAUAUUUUGAAUGGGAAAAGCUUGUCAAAGUUUAAUCAUUGAUGUUAGCAAGAAGACGUUAGUUUAAUAUAUUGGAAUUGGAAAACCUUGUCAAAAUUUGCUCAUUGAUGUUAGCCAGAAGACAUGCAUUUGAUAUUUUUGAGUGGGACGCCCUUGCUGUGAGCAGCGUCGAGUGUUUUUUCCUAUUCCUGUGUUCAGUUUAGAAGUAAAUAGUUACUCUGCUGAGAUAUUCUUGUGUUAAGAGUUUGUUCUGAAUAUUGUCUAUGUAAUGCCAGGCCUUGUGUUUGAUUGCAAAGUUGAGCUUGGAAUGUUGUGGCAUGCGGCAUCCCGAGCUAUUCACCGUGGCUCCUGAGAAUAAUGCUUCGUAUUGUUUUGCAUGUUGAUCUAAUGCCAGUGAUUUGCUUGUUAAGAAGAUCAUCCUCUUCUGUUGUUUCCGUGCUUUAAGAAGUUCAUCAUCUGAUGUUUCAUUCAUAGCCUAUACGACAAGUCGGGUAGGUUAGACAUGAAACCAUAUGAUCUUCCGACCAACUCAUGAUAUUAGGCCGUGAUUGGAUCGCUGUUUUCCAACCAAAACCACUUGUAAAACUGACGCUUGUAAAUUAAAGCAGAUGGUCUCGGGCGAAGGCGCUUGGUUGGUCAAUUUCGACUAGUAAAAUAUCGGAAGUACUUCACACACGAUAAAAACGCUGAACGACACUCGAACGAUUGCUAAUCUAGCCGUUAGCUGCUGUUUCAUCCUUGCCCAUGGAUGGCAUGAUACGCACGUCGUGCAUGUAUCGUCUGGUAAUGUCGUCCAUAUAGCAGUGCUCGUAAAAUAUACACUGGUCUCUCAAAUUACACGCGUAACCCGCCGGUUUUACUUACAGACCUCGGGCCCUCGGUUUCAUUACAUCUGUAUUUUACGCGUUGUUUCCGACGACGAGUAAAUUACACUUGUAUGUUAAUACAGGUUUGAAAUAAACCAGAGCUCCCAAGCGCGGCCUUACCGUUUCAUGCCGUCUUAGUUUCUCGAAGGUGCUCAUAGGUGUCCGAUGAUCCUAGCUUCCUGAAUGAGCAGCGGGCGCUGUAUCAGACCAUCCGUAGGGCCCGCGAGGCCCUCUCCGUUGUCCUUCGAGUUGUUGCGCUCGCCGUGGCGUCGAGCAUUGUUAACAUCGUCAACGAACAUGAGGAUUCAGGAGAUGACUUUAUUUUGACUGGAUGACACUAGGGACCCACCAGGGCCAUAGCCGUACGUACGCAAGUGCCUCCUUAUUAUGUACAACUAUAUUUUUUUUGCUUUUUCCUGGUUUCCUGACAUCACGGUCCCACACCAUUGUCAACCUAUGUAGUCAAUAUAAACGAGAGAAUUGCACAAGGUGCGGCCGACAGCUGGGACCAAGCAGCUCGAGCAGUAUUUUUGUUUUUGAGGCGCGAGCACUGCAGAGUUUUUCUUGGCGAUGAUUUCGUUGUUGUUCAGAGGAGAGCAGGGUAUUAACUGGGCGGGCUGUGGCCCGUCUAGCCCAGGCCAGAUAUCCAGCCCAGAUACUAAUUUUUUCAAGAUGAAAAUGGCUAGCCCAGCUAUACGUCUUUUUGAGGAAUACCCAGGCAAGGUCAACUUGUUAUUCUCCGCCCCACUGGGCUGCAAAUCUUUCCUAGGAGGGAUGCAUUAGGCUUAACAGGAAAAUGAGCUUUAAAAAAUAAUAAAUGGCAUGUAAUUAUAAAAACUGGGCAGUAACUAUGAAAAAAUGCACCAAACACGAAAUUAGUUUAUAAAAUAUUAUUUAUGGAUUUUGAAAAUCUUCAAUUUUCAUUGUUGCGCGCGCAAUGUUUCGUUGGAUUUUUACGUAAUACAAAUUUAUAUUUAAUCUGACUAGAAAUUUCGGAUCCCAUCAAAAUGUGGGAAAUUUUAUUGAAUUCUGUCUUCAACGGUUUGUUGAAAUUAUUAAUCGUUGUCCUAGCUAGAAAAUGGGCUGUACUUUUAACAAACUGUAAAUGGGCUGUUGUAAAUUCCAUUAGAAUUCAAAAAUGGGAUGUACAUUCUUACAAGACGCAAAUGGGCUAUAAGUUCUUUGCCACACACUUGUGGACCUACUAAGUGACGCGUCCCCUAAAAAAAUAAGUUGACGCGUAUGCAAGGCUUUGUCAACUUAUUAUAGUCAACACACGGUUCUAGCAGCAGUGGCCGUUGGAUGUCUAUCCAACGGAUGUCGUGCUUCUUCUUCAAUCUCGGAUAUUCUUAGCUUCGGCCGCCCAAAAAAUGAUUCCUCCCCCUGACAUCUGGGGUGCACCGUUUCGGAGGCUGACCUGUGGGCCUACUAAGUUGGAGCGUACUAAGGGCUUUGUCAACUUAGUCAAUAUAAACGAUUCUAGCUUCAGUGACCGUACGAUGUCCAUCCAACGGCCGUAGUGCUUCUUCAACCUCUGGUCUUCUUGGUCCAGCCGCCCAAAGCAGUGUCGGUCGUGCCGCCUACUCCUGCCUCCCGUGGCCGGCUGUGCUGCCGCGGAGGCCUCACCGCCCCCAUACUACUCCCACCGCUGGCCAGGCCAUCCCUCCACUCACCCACACCCCCUGUUAUUCUGCGGCGACGGUAGCCUCACACCGCAGCCGAACCAGUGAACCCUCGUACUCCUCUCCGCGCGGUCUUCCACUACUGCGUCUUCCCCGGCUCCGUGUCAUCCCCUUCCUAGGCCUCGCCGUCGUCCACCGCCCUGGUGCUCUCGGUGCGGCGUGGUCAACAUGGUCAACGACCGACUUCCAUCGGAAGAGUACUGUACGUGGAGAGGCUGAUAGCUGGGUCCACGGCGGCCGCAAGGAAGUGCCUCCUUAUUACGCGCAAAAUAAUUAUUCCUCCACCUGACAGUGGGGACCCACCAGACGGACCACCAGUAUUUUGCGAAAAAAUUGUUUCCCCCUGACUGCUGGGACCCACCGGACGGGCCACCGUAUUUCGCGAAAAAAACGUUCCCCCCGCUGUCAGCUCGGACCCACCGGAAGUGCCUCCUUAUUACGCACAAAAAAAUGAAUACUCCCCCAGCUAGCUGGGACCCACCUUGGUGGGAGGCUGACUUGUGGGCCUACUAAGUUGAAGGGGACGAAGGGCUUUGUCAACUUAGUCAAUAUGAACGAUUCUAGCUCCAGUGACCGUACGAUGUCCAUCCAACGGCCGUAGUGCUUCUUCAACCUCUGGUCUUCUUGCUCCAGCCGCCCAAAGCAGCGCCGGUCGUGCCGCAUGCUCCUGCCUCCCGUGGCCGGCUGUGCUGCCGUAGAGGCCUCACCGCCCCCUACUAUUCCCACCGCUGGCCAGGCCCUGCGGUGACGGCAGCCUCACGCCGCAGCCGAACCAGUGAACCCUCGUACUCCUCUCCGCGCGGGCUUCCACUGCCGCGUCUUCCCCGGCUCCGCGUCAUCCCCUUCCUAGGCCUCGCCGUCGUCCACCGCCGUGGUGCUCUCCGCGCGGCGUGGUCAACGUGGUCAAGGAACGACUUCCAUCGGAAGAGUACUGUACGUGGAGAGGCUGACAGCUGGGUCCACGGCCACAGCCCAGUUUUUUUGUGAUUUGCCAAGUAAGUCGCUUUGUCAGGCCUGUUGGGCUACAAAUCUUUCAAGACGAGGAGAGCUUUCAUUCGGCUGUCCGAGAAAAUGGUCCAUCAGUAAUGAGAAAUGGGCUGUACAUUUUUAAAACACAUCAAACUGGCAAUUAGUUUCAAAUAUCUUUUUUUCAUUUCAAGAUUUUAAAUUACAUUAAUUUUUAUGCGUGGAGAAUUUGUUGGAUUUUAUAUUGAUAUACAUUUAUUUUUAAAAUCAGUUUGAAUGUGAGUCGAAAUUUCGGGAUUAAAAACAGUUCGGACCGCACCGAAAUAUGCAAAAUUUUGUAUAAUUUUUUAACCGUGGCCACAAUAUGGGCUAUAAUGCUAACAAAAAGAAUAUGGGCUCCAAAAAAACCUUAAGAAUUAGCAAAUGGGCUGUAAAUUAUUAGAAAUAAUGGCAGAUGGGAUGUAUGUUGUUUUCCACAUAUUUGAGGCUUUCCUAAAAAAAGGUUGACGCACAAGCACUGACUGUUGGAUGUCCAUCCAACGGCCGUCGUGCUUCUUCAAUCUCUGCUCUUCCUGCUCUAGCCGCUCAAACAAGCGCCGGCGGGACUGCCUGCUCCCUCCUCCCUGCGGCCGGCUGUGCUGCCGCGCAGGCCUCACCGCCCCACCGUACUCCCAUCGCUGGCCUAGCCAUCCCUCUACUCACCCACACCUGCUGUUAUUCUCCGGCGACGGCAGACGAACCAGUAAACCCUCGUACAGUCGUACUCCCCUCCGCGUGGGAAACAACUGUCGAGUCUUCCCUGCCUCCAUGUCGUCCCCUUCCUAGGCCUCGUCGUCGUCCACCGUCGUGGUGCUCUCGGCGCGGCGUGGUCAAUGUGGUCAACGACCGACUUCCAUCGGAAGAGUACUGUGCGUGGAGACGCUGACAGCUGGGUCCACGGCCGCAGCAAGGAAGUGUCUCCUUAUUACGCGCAAAAUAAUUAUUCCUCCACCUGACAGCGGGGACCCACCGGACGGGCCACCGUAUUUCGCGAAAAAAACAUUUCCCCCUGACUGCUGGGACCCACCAGCUACACCUUCGCACACAAGGAAGUGCGUCCGGGCAAAAAAACAAAACGAUUCGCCCCCUGACUGCUGGGACCCACCAGCUACAUCUUCGCAUGCAAGGAAGUGCCUGACAAUCGGGACCCACCUAGUCGAAGCAUACGUAGCGUUGUCAUUCUGGUCGCGAACGUGUACGUACAUAUAUACUGGUGGAUGUAGAGGUGCACACGUGUCGUAGUAGAGGCGCGCACGUAGCAUGUACACGUACGUACAGCGGCCAGGGUGCAAGAAAGAAAAUACGGCCACGUAUGUGUACAUACGGGCGGGGUCUCGAACGCCUACUCGCGCAUACUUACGGCGAGGGCUCGUUGACAUGGCUGGGUCGGAACGGAGAAACAGCGUCGUCGUCGUGUUCAUGGGGAGGCAACGGAAUGCGUCGUGUUCAUGGGGAGGCAACGGAAUGCGUCGUGUUCAUCGGGAGGCAACGGAACGCGUGGGAGCCAACCGGCUGGGUCGGAACAUAAUGCGUGGUCGUGUUCAUCGGGAGGGCUUGGACGGAACAGGCGAUGGAAACGAGGCCUGGCGUACCGUACAACAGAGGAAACGGACCUCCUACAUUCGGAACGGGGUCCUGUUGAUCGGGAGCGGUGUGGCGUACCACAAAACGGAGGAAACGGACCUCCUACGGUCGAAACGGGGGUCCUGUUGAUCGGGAGGGGUGUGGUGUACCGCAAAACGGACGAAACGGACCUCCUACGGUCGAAAUGGGGGUCCUGUUGAUCGGGAGGGGUGUGGCGUACCGCAAAACGGACAAAACAGACCUCCUACGGUUGAAACGGGGGUCCUGUUCAUCGGGAGGGGUGUGGCGUACCGCAAAACGGGACUCCACGGGAUACUGUUCAUCUCCACCGUCGACCUCCUCCAGCCUCCACGGGCUACCGUCGACCUCCUCCAGCCUCCUAGGGCUCCUGUUCAUCCAGCCUCCACCGCGCGCUACUCCACCGGCUACUGUUNNNNNNNNNNNNNNNNNNNNNNNNNNNNNNNNNNNNNNNNNNNNNNNNNNNNNNNNNNNNNNNNNNNNNNNNNNNNNNNNNNNNNNNNNNNNNNNNNNNNNNNNNNNNNNNNNNNNNNNNNNNNNNNNNNNNNNNNNNNNNNNNNNNNNNNNNNNNNNNNNNNNNNNNNNNNNNNNNNNNNNNNNNNNNNNNNNNNNNNNNNNNNNNNNNNNNNNNNNNNNNNNNNNNNNNNNNNNNNNNNNNNNNNNNNNNNNNNNNNNNNNNNNNNNNNNNNNNNNNNNNNNNNNNNNNNNNNNNNNNNNNNNNNNNNNNNNNNNNNNNNNNNNNNNNNNNNNNNNNNNNNNNNNNNNNNNNNNNNNNNNNNNNNNNNNNNNNNGUAGCGAAGGAAUCGCUCGAUCGGGUUCAGUUAACAGCCAUCGAUCGAUCGCUCGGGUUCAGUAACGCGUAGCCUGCAGUGCAAUCGCUCGGGUUCAGUUAGAGCCCAACGCCUCGCUCGGGUUCAGUUAGAGCCAACGCCUCGCACACACGCGCGUAUGUGUACGAGAGAAACGCGCAUCGCUCGGCCCCUGACCUCCCACCGUAACCGGGAACUUCCCAAAAUUUUCCUCGCCCUCGCUUCUACCACGGUUUUUUCCGUCAUGGACGGCCCAAAGAAUGUCAUGCAGCCGCGUCUCCGGCCCGCCCAGGACGAAAAGCCCAUUUUCUGUCAUGAUUUUUUGUCAUAGAAGUAGGAGCCCACCACAUCUAUGAUGAUACCGGGUUUUGUCACAAUUAUCAUCAUAGAAGUGUCAUAUGUAUGACAGGAAAAAAUUUCGUUCGGCCCAAAAUGUCACGGAUGUGUCUUUUUUUUGUAGUGAGAACACUAGCUAUUCACAUGGCCAAACUGAACUUACUGAUAACUGGCUGACAGAAACAUUAUUUAGCAACUUUAGAGCAUUGUUAACACAAGCUACAGCAGGCCAUAAUUCCAAACAAGGGCAUGGAUGGAUAGAGCAUGACAAGAUCUACAAAACAUCCUUACUAAGCAUCUGCAGAUUAUUCAUGGAUUCACUUAUAGCAUCAAGUUAACAUGGCAACAUAAUAUAGCAGGUUCAGACUUCGCUUGCUUGUGCUAGUCACCACAGGGCAUAUAAAAAUACAUGGAUUGCACCACUGUAAAGAUGGCAUGAAUAUGCUCCUAAAACAUGUUGACAUGAUGCUCAAAAGAUAAUCACACAAAAUGCUAUGAAAAAGACAAAUCAGCAAGUUACAACAGUUUUCAGCAGUGGAUAUUACUUAGCACUUUUGCAACGAUGAUUAAGGCAUCAAUAUGGACACUAACAUGAAUGCAAAAUUAUACCAACAUGAAGAGCACACAGAGCAGAUCAUAUGCAUAUCAAGAACAUCACCAUAGGAUAAACAUGCACAUUGUUAGGGCCCACACAACAUGCUCAUAUAAUGUUUAGAAAUCAGGGACUUAGUCAAAAUAACGCAGUUUCCAGAAUGGGCGCACGAUAGCUAGGCGAUGCACAUGCGGGAUUUAGCGGUGCUCGCCACAUGGGCUCCGCCUAGGUUGCAGUGGAGGCAGGCCGGCGGUUGGGUGGGGCCAUGCCCACGAGGCCUGGACGGCCGGAGGAGGCCCAGGACGGAGUGCACGAGGGAUCUUGCUCGAUCCUGAGUAGGGCACGGCACAACGGCGCUCUCCGGCGGCAACGACGCGGUGCAGAAGGGUCGAGGACUGGCGGAGGAGGCGGAUCCGGGGCCGGGACGCCAGAUCUGGCGAGCGGCGGCUGUCGGGGACGCGGUUCUCGAUGACAAGGAG